This 632-nucleotide long non-coding RNA is filed under the name Glycine max (soybean). RNAcentral describes it as "long non-coding RNA (GMAX_LNC004496)". Lineage: Eukaryota; Viridiplantae; Streptophyta; Magnoliopsida; Fabales; Fabaceae. The record is from RNAcentral.
UAGAGUUUAGAAGUAAACAAAUACCAAACAAGAGAUCAAUCUUGCAUGCUAAAUGAAUCAUAAUUAGCUAUGAGAUUUUGUUAUGGGAGUAUAUAUAUAUAUAUAUAUAUAUAUAUAGCUCACGGAAGAAGAGCUGCAUGAAGAAACAAAGAGAAAGAAAGUGAAGGCAUAUAUAUAUUAUAGAGAGCGAACAUACAGUUAAGUUCCUGCCAUGUUUUCGAUGCUUAGAACCCAGAAAGAAAGCUCAGGUACAGUUCCGAAAUCACAUUUUCGCAGAGAAAAAGACUUCCAAAGCGAGCUGGUAUUAUAUAACAAGUUCCUGUUCGGUGGCUUUUCUAUGUGAAAAUGUGACUCGGAAGUGUAACCCAUCUUGAUCUUCCACCAACACCCAAGUGAAUCAUAUAAUUCAUAGCAUUCAAAGAAAAUGAAAAAUUAAUAACUAGAGACACGUUUUUGCACACUCACCUAGUCAUUUAAUGAAUUCGCAUAUAUAUAGAGGUUUCAAGAUUCAAACGGGACAAAGGAGGAUAACUUUAUUAAGUGAUUCGCGUAUCCCCACAGUACACAACACACCGCAUGCAUGCACUUUGUUGUUUUAUUCACUCACUCACUACUAUCACACAACAGACACA